UCUGAUGGCAGGGGAUCAAUUAUCCGGGCACGGGAUUGUGGCUAAUGGUCGACACCAGAUUGUCAAGUUUCACAGUUAGCUCAGCAAUUAUGAAUAUUGAAUGCAAAAUAAUGGCCCCGGUACGGUGGACCCCAUCCAAGUGGUCUGGAAUCCAUCACUUCAACCCAGGGGAGAGGAGGAGGGCCAUCUUUCAUCCAAGAGUGGACCGUGACUUCCCCAAGUGUGGCCGUCUGACAUCAAGACCGUGGCGGCAUUCUGUGCCAAAGAAACAGCUGAAGUGGGUUUGCUGGGAGGAGAAUUCUACUCUCAUUCUUUGGAACUGCUUCAGGCUCCCUGUAAUGACUCAGAGGCAGAAUAUUAUUUUUUCAGGCUAGAUCAAUUCUGGAGCUACAACAUAAACCCCCUCACAUCCAAUAACAGUCCCAUUGGUGCACGGCCAAUAUGAGGGAAAGAGAUUUGUUUACGUUACGUGGCGUAAAUAGAAAAUAUUAUAUAUUGUCCUCUCAAAAUAGGACUUGAGAAUUGAAAAAACGAGCGACUACACUGGCCAUGCCUGUGGUACAACAAGUAAAAACUCAAUUAUCUCAAGAGACUCGUUUUCCUCGGAUUAUGUUUAUGCUGAAACAGAUAUCUUAAGCGGAGGAACUGAUCCCUCCCCACAGUCUCUCCCGGUGUGAUUUCUGAUCCCCAUCCAGCAGGAUCCGAAUGCACCUGGGCCUCCAUCCCUUCGGAAGGCGCCAGCCCCAGACAGCGGCGCGGUCUUCACCCACGUUCCAACCAACUGCUGGCAGAACCGGGGACCAACACCUGAUUCUCAUGCUCUUUCCACCAGAACAGCAGCGGGCCUAAAAAGAUUAUUUCUAUUCUUCUCUGGAGAAGAAAGAACUCCCAACCUACAUCUCAUACUUGAGGAUCUAGGGAUGUCUCCGACCGCACCUCUCCCUCAUAUAGAUUUUGUGUAAAGUAUUGAGGCUCUCCAAUAAAUAACUCCAGUGGCA
Ornithorhynchus anatinus (platypus) is the source of this 998-nucleotide long non-coding RNA. RefSeq lists it as uncharacterized. The record is from RefSeq and is a predicted model, not a curated record. NCBI's taxonomy places the organism in Eukaryota, Metazoa, Chordata, Mammalia, Monotremata, Ornithorhynchidae. The transcript is spliced from 2 exons.